CGGUGGAGCAUGUGGUUUAAUUCGAAGCAACGCGAAGAACCUUACCAGGCCUUGACAUGCAGAGAACUUUCCAGAGAUGGAUUGGUGCCUUCGGGAACUCUGACACAGGUGCUGCAUGGCUGUCGUCAGCUCGUGUCGUGAGAUGUUGGGUUAAGUCCCGCAACGAGCGCAACCCUUGUGUUUAGUUGCAAACAGGUCAAGCUGUGCACUCUAGACAGACUGCCGUGGACAACACGGAGGAAGGUGGGGAUGACGUCAAAUCAUCAUGCCCCUUAUGAUCUGGGCUACACACGUGCUACAAUGGCCGGUACAACGGGCAGCGAAGGAGCGAUCCGGAGCGAAUCCUAAAAAGCCGGUCCCAGUUCGGAUUGCAGGCUGAAACUCGCCUACAUGAAGUUGGAGUUGCUAGUAAUCGCGAAUCAGAAUGUCGCGGUGAAUGCGUUCCCGGGUCUU
Molecule: ribosomal RNA, 453 nt
Filed under: uncultured Fusibacter sp.
Lineage: Bacteria; Bacillati; Bacillota; Clostridia; Eubacteriales; Fusibacteraceae
Description: bacterial SSU rRNA
Rfam family: Bacterial small subunit ribosomal RNA
Source: RNAcentral